RNAcentral lists this ribosomal RNA (292 nucleotides) under uncultured bacterium. Its description in RNAcentral is "partial 16S ribosomal RNA". It matches the Rfam family "Bacterial small subunit ribosomal RNA", at positions 505 to 796 of the family's 1533-position model. The record is from RNAcentral.
GUGUCAGCAGCCGCGGUAAGACAGAGGGUGCAAACGUUGCUCGGAAUCACUGGGCGUAAAGGGCGUGUAGGCGGGCAGAUAAGUCGGGCGUGAAAUCCCCAGGCUCAACCUGGGAACUGCACUCGAAACUGUUUGUCUUGAGUAUCGGAGAGGAAAGCGGAAUACCUGGUGUAGAGGUGAAAUUCGUAGAUAUCAGGUGGAACACCAGUGGCGAAGGCGGCUUUCUGGACGAUAACUGACGCUGAGACGCGAAAGCGUGGGGAGCAAACAGGAUUAGAAACCCCCGUAGUCC